This 2358-nucleotide long non-coding RNA is filed under the name Homo sapiens (human). RNAcentral describes it as "HSALNT0222396". The record is from RNAcentral. Lineage: Eukaryota; Metazoa; Chordata; Mammalia; Primates; Hominidae.
GUCAUUUGCCUUCUGCAUACAAGAAAACUGAGGACUAAGGAUAUUAUGAGAUCUGCCAAGGGUAGUUUUGAUAUAUACAGUUGUGAUAUUAUAAAUAAAUAAAUAUAUAUAUUUAUUUUUAUAUAUAUAGGUUUUCAUCCACGGUUCCUGGCUCAUAACUCCUGCAGCCCUUGGUGUAGUCUUUUGUUAUAAUGUUGGGGUGCUUUAGGCCUCAGGAGCAGGCCUCAGGAAACAGAAUCUCUCUCUCUAACCUUCUUCUGUCCUCCUUUUACCUGCCCAAGGGAGGCCUCUAAUAUGAUUGCCGGUUAAAAGACCCUCAUUCCAGAAAGGGUCCCUCCCCAUAUUCUGAAAGAAAAAAUGCUGCACAAGAAGCCAGGAAGAAUCUGGACAGACAGGCCUUGCUGGGUUUCCCACUCAUGAGAUCAUGUUCUUUUGUCCAAUCACAUUUCUACACAGGGUCAAUAGUGCCUAUGUAAUGAAGCCUCCAUAAAAACCCAAAAGGACAGCACUUAGAGAGCUUCCAGAUAGCCGAACAUAUGGGUGCUCCUGGAAGGUAGAGUGCCCAGGAAGGACAUGGAGACUCUCUACUCCUUCCCCCAUACCUUGCCCUACACAUCUCUUCAUUGGCACGGUGGCUCACGCCUGUAAUCGCAGCACUUUGGGAGACCAAAGCAGAUGAAUCACCUGAGGUCAAGAGUUCAAGACCAGCCUGGCCAACACGAAAGAAGCUCUCACAGUGGAAGACUAUAAUAUGACAUAAGAAGAAAUGUGGACUUGGAGAUACAGAAGAGUUUCACUCUGCCAUUCAGGCUGCAGUGCAGUGGUGCGAUCUCAAUUCAUUGCAGCCUCGACCGCCCAGAUUCAAGCAAUCCUCCCGCUUCAGCCUCCCAAGCAGCUGGGACUACAGGCACACACCAUGUCGAUAAUUUAAAUCAACCUUAUUCAUUUUAACUGCUACAUAGCAUUGCAGCAUAUAAAUAUACCACAGUGUGUAAUCCAUUCUCCUCUUUGUAGGCAUUUACACGAUUUACAAUUUUGUAUGAUUAGAAAAUAAACCACAAUGAAUAUUGUUGCACAUGAGUUCAAAAGUUUCUGUGAAGAACAAACCUAAAAGUAGAAGGUUAGAGCAUACAUAUUUUCAGCUUUAGAGAAUACUACCAAACUCCUAUAUAUAAUUUUUACCAAUAUGCUCUCUCAGCAGUAGCACUGAGAGUUCUUAUUUCUUCCAAACCUUGACUAUACUUAAUGUUACCAGACCUUAGAAUUUUGUCAUGAUGAUGGGCAUGAAGUGGUAAAACAAGGACAUUUUAUAAAAGUAUCCAUACAUAAUAAAAACAUAACAUUCAUAAAUGUAGGCAAUAUAAAAAUUUAUCAGGUAAAAAAUAUUAGAUUAUAACAGCUGUGAGUGGUAGCUCACGACUGUACUCCCAGCACAUUAGGAGGCCAAGGUGGGCGGAUCACUUGAGGUCAGGAGUUCAAGAACAGCCUGGCCAACAUGGGAAAUCCUGUCUUGACCAAAAAUACAAAAAUUAGCCAGAUGUGGUGGUGCACACCUGUAAUCACAGCUACUCGGGUGGCUGAGGCAGGAGAAUCACUUGAAACCGGGAGGCAGAAGUUGCAGUGAGCCGAGACCACACCACUGCACUCCAGCCUAGGAGACAGAGUCAGACUCCAUCUCAAAAAAAAAAAAAAAAAAAAUAGAUUAUAAGGAGGAGAUUGAGUUAUAAAAUGAUAGGAAGAGGCAUUAUCCUGCCACCAACAACAUAUGAUAGAUCAAUAAUCUUUUAAAGAACAACUUUUAACCAUACUGAAUGGAUAAAUAUUAUCUAGCAAAUAUAACACCUUUCAGAGCAUUCACUGAUCAACUCUCAAAUUUCAAAAACUGGAAAUAAUUUGAGGCAUAUUAACUUCACAAAAACGCAGUAAAGCCAAAAAUCAACAAUGAACUUUAAAUAAAAGGCCUCAACCUUUUAGAUUUAUUUAAAAUACAUUAAAGAACAAAAAUAUCAGAUUACACAAAAAUGACAAAACUAACAAAGCUAAGAAAAAAAAUGUAAUAAAAUCCAAAGCUAUAUUGUGAGGUAUAUUGCUGCAAUUAUUAAAAGUAAAUAUUGGCUGGGUGAGGUGGCUCACACCUAUAAUCCCAAGGCAGUAGGACUGCUUGAGCUCAGGAGUUAAAGACCAGGUUGGACAACACAGCAAGACCUCCUCUCUACUAAAAAUAAAAUUUAAUGUGCCUGAACUCACAAGUACUCAGGAGGCUGAGGCGGGAAGAUUGUUUGAGCCCAGGAGAUCAAAGCUACAGUGAGCCAUGAUCGUGCCACUGCAUCCCAGCCUGGAGCUACAGGCACAUGCCAC